This 664-nucleotide ribosomal RNA is filed under the name Petropedetes parkeri (Parker's water frog). RNAcentral describes it as "partial 16S ribosomal RNA". It matches the Rfam family "Bacterial large subunit ribosomal RNA", at positions 596 to 1739 of the family's 2925-position model. Lineage: Eukaryota; Metazoa; Chordata; Amphibia; Anura; Petropedetidae. The record is from RNAcentral.
CUCCUGUCCUUUGCAUCAUGGUCUAGCUAGUUUAAUCAAGCAAAAUGAACCUUCCAGUUUGCCUCCCCGAAACUAAGCGAGCUACUUCAGAACAGCCUAUAGGGCCAACCCGUCUCUGUUGCAAAAGAGUGGGAAGAUUCUCAAGUAGAAGUGACAUACCUACCGAGCUUAGAGAUAGCUGGUUUUUCAAGAAAAGAAUUUUAGUUCUGCCUUAAGCUUUUUUAUUUUCUAAAACAACAACUUAAGCUUAAGAGUUAUUCAAAUAAGGGACAGCUUAUUUGAACCAGGACACAACCUCAGACAUAGGGUAAUUUACCUUUAAACAACAAAGUAGGCCUAAAAGCAGCCAUCUUUAAAAAGCGUCAAAGCUUAAUCUACUAAAUCACUUUAAUUUCUUCUUCAACUCUAAACCCACCUCCAGUAUUGAAAGACCCCAUAAAAUUAUGGAAGCCACUAUGCUAGAACUAGUAACAAGAAAGAGAAUUUCUCUAAAAUGCAAGUAUUGAUCAACACACCCCCUAUUGAUAAUUAACGUUGCUGAGUUUAUUGCAUUAACGUCCCAAGAAAAUGAUUCAACAAAUAACGUAAAACUAACACUAGAGCAUUUAUAGAAAGAUUAAAAGAGUAGGAAGGAACUCGGCAAAUUUAACCCUCGCCUGUUUAC